Molecule: transfer RNA, 64 nt
Filed under: Lachesilla pedicularia
Lineage: Eukaryota; Metazoa; Arthropoda; Insecta; Psocodea; Lachesillidae
Description: tRNA-Ile
Source: RNAcentral
AAUAAAGUGCCUGAUAAAAGGAUUAUCUUGAUAGGAUAAAUUAUAUACAAUUGUAUCUUUAUUA